Long non-coding RNA from Oncorhynchus keta (chum salmon), 1326 nucleotides. RefSeq lists it as uncharacterized. The transcript is spliced from 5 exons. NCBI's taxonomy places the organism in Eukaryota, Metazoa, Chordata, Actinopteri, Salmoniformes, Salmonidae. The record is from RefSeq and is a predicted model, not a curated record.
UAAUGAUAAAAACAGGAAGUACAACUAUCCAAAGGUGCAGCAUUAUGGGUAAUGAUAAAAACAGGAAGUACAACUAUCCAAAGGUGCAGCAUUAUGGGUAAUGAUAAAAACAGGAAGUACAACUAUCCAAAGGUGCAGCAUUAUGGGUAAUGAUAAAAACAGGAAGUACAACUAUCCAAAGGUGCAGCAUUAUGGGUAAUGAUAAAAACAGGAAGUACAACUAUCCAAAGGUGCAGCAUUAUGGGUAAUGAUAAAAACAGGAAGUACAACUAUCCAAAGGUGCAGCAUUAUGGGUAAUGAUAAAAACAGGAAGUACAACUAUCCAAAGGUGCAGCAUUAUGGGUAAUGAUAAAAACAGGAAGUACAACUAUCCAAAGGUGCAGCAUUAUGGGUAAUGAUAAAAACAGGAAGUACAACUAUCCAAAGGUGCAGCAUUAUGGGUAAUGAUAAAAACAGGAAGUACAACUAUCCAAAGGUGCAGCAUUAUGGGUAAUGAUAAAAACAGGAAGUACAACUAUCCAAAGGUGCAGCAUUAUGGGUAAUGAUAAAAACAGGAAGUACAACUAUCCAAAGGUGCAGCAUUAUGGGUAAUGAUAAAAACAGGAAGUACAACUAUCCAAAGGUGCAGCAUUAUGGGUAAUGAUAAAAACAGGAAGUACAACUAUCCAAAGGUGCAGCAUUAUGGGUAAUGAUAAAAACAGGAAGUACAACUAUCCAAAGGUGCAGCAUUAUGGGUAAUGAUAAAAACAGGAAGUACAACUAUCCAAAGGUGCAGCAUUAUGGGUAAUGAUAAAAACAGGAAGUACAACUAUCCAAAGGUGCAGCAUUAUGGGUAAUGAUAAAAACAGGAAGUACAACUAUCCAAAGGUGCAGCAUUAUGGGUAAUGAUAAAAACAGGAAGUACAACUAUCCAAAGGUGCAGCAUUAUGGGUAAUGAUAAAAACAGGAAGUACAACUAUCCAAAGGUGCAGCAUUAUGGGUAAUGAUAAAAACAGGAAGUACAACUAUCCAAAGGUGCAGCAUUAUGGGUAAUGAUAAAAACAGGAAGUACAACUAUCCAAAGGUGCAGCAUUAUGGGUAAUGAUAAAAACAGGAAGUACAACUAUCCAAAGGUGCAGCAUUAUGGGUAAUGAUAAAAACAGGAAGUACAACUAUCCAAAGGUGCAGCAUUAUGGGUAAUGAUAAAAACAGGAAGUACAACUAUCCAAAGGUGCAGCAUUAUGGGUAAUGAUAAAAACAGGAAGUACAACUAUCCAAAGGUGCAGCAUUAUGGGUAAUGAUAAAAACAGGAAGUACAACUAUCCAAAGGUGCAGCAUUAUGGGUAA